AGAGUUUGAUCCUGGCUCAGGAUGAACGCUAGCGACAGGCUUAACACAUGCAAGUCGAGGGGCAGCGGGGGAGCAGCAAUGCUCCCGCCGGCGACCGGCGCACGGGUGAGUAACACGUAUGGAACCUGCCCGCAGCAGGGGGAUAAGCGGAAGAAAUUCCGUCUAAUACCGCGUAACACCGCGGAGGGGCAUCCCUCGGCGGUUAAAGAUUCAUCGGCUGCGGAUGGCCAUGCGGCGCAUUAGCUAGUCGGCGGGGUAACGGCCCACCGAGGCGACGAUGCGUAGGGGUUCUGAGAGGAAGGUCCCCCACACUGGUACUGAGACACGGACCAGACUCCUACGGGAGGCAGCAGUGAGGAAUAUUGGUCAAUGGCCGGGAGGCUGAACCAGCCAAGUCGCGUGAGGGAAGACGGCCCUACGGGUUGUAAACCUCUUUUGUCAGGGAGCAAGAGGCGGGUCGGGACCUGCUGUGAGAGUACCCGAAGAAAAAGCAUCGGCUAACUCCGUGCCAGCAGCCGCGGUAAUACGGAGGAUGCGAGCGUUAUCCGGAUUUAUUGGGUUUAAAGGGUGCGCAGGCGGAGGCACAAGUCAGCGGUAAAAUCGCGGGGCUCAACCCCGCUCCGCCGUUGAAACUGUGUCCCUUGAGUGCGCGAAGGGUAGGCGGAAUGCGUGGUGUAGCGGUGAAAUGCAUAGAUAUCACGCAGAACUCCGAUCGCGAAGGCAGCCUACCGGCGCGCAACUGACGCUCAUGCACGAAAGCGUGGGUAUCGAACAGAAAAGAGAUACCCUGGUAGUCCACGCAGUAAACG
This 809-nucleotide ribosomal RNA is filed under the name uncultured bacterium. RNAcentral's name for it is "bacterial SSU rRNA". It matches the Rfam family "Bacterial small subunit ribosomal RNA", at positions 8 to 808 of the family's 1533-position model. The record is from RNAcentral.